This 790-nucleotide ribosomal RNA is filed under the name uncultured bacterium. Its description in RNAcentral is "bacterial SSU rRNA". It matches the Rfam family "Bacterial small subunit ribosomal RNA", at positions 8 to 796 of the family's 1533-position model. The record is from RNAcentral.
AGAGUUUGAUCAUGGCUCAGAUUGAACGCUGGCGGCAUGCCUUACACAUGCAAGUCGAACGCGAAAGGGGGCAACCCCGAGUAGAGUGGCGAACGGGUGAGCAAUACAUCGGAACGUGUCCUGUAGCGGGGGACAACCUCGAGAAAUCGAGGCUAAUACCGCAUACGAUCUACGGAUGAAAGUGGGGGACCGCAAGGCCCCACACUAUAGGAGCGGCCGAUGCCGGAUUAGCUAGUUGGUGGGGUAACGGCCUACCAAGGCGACGAUCCGUAGCUGGUUUGAGAGAACGACCAGCCACACUGGGACUGAGACACGGCCCAGACUCCUACGGGAGGCAGCAGUGGGGAAUUUUGGACAAUGGGCGAAAGCCUGAUCCAGCCAUGCCGCGUGAGUGAAGAAGGCCUUCGGGUUGUAAAGCUCUUUCGGCGGGGACGAAAUAGCGCGGGGUAACAUCCCGCGUCGAUGACGGUACCCGAAGAAGAAGGACCGGCUAACUACGUGCCAGCAGCCGCGGUAAUACGUAGGGUCCAAGCGUUAAUCGGAAUUACUGGGCGUAAAGCGUGCGUAGGCGGUUUCGAAAGUCCGAUGUGAAAUCCCCGGGCUUAACCUGGGAACUGCGUUGGAAACUACGAGGCUGGAGUGCGGCAGAGGGGGGUGGAAUUCCAGGUGUAGCAGUGAAAUGCGUAGAUAUCUGGAGGAACACCGAUGGCGAAGGCAGCCCCCUGGGCCAGCACUGACGCUGAUACACGAAAGCGUGGGGAGCAAACAGGAUUAGAUACCCUAGUAGUCC